Non-coding RNA from Arachis ipaensis, 473 nucleotides. NCBI's taxonomy places the organism in Eukaryota, Viridiplantae, Streptophyta, Magnoliopsida, Fabales, Fabaceae. The record is from RefSeq and is a predicted model, not a curated record.
UGAAUUACUCGCAAUCGUUCUCACUCCUCCUCACGCUGUAAACCCUAUCUCGCUCCUCCUCAGACCUCAAUCAUCUCUUGCUCUGCCUUCAGAUUCAAAUUCUCAAUUUCAUUCUCCACUGCGAUCUGAAUUAUUUGCUGCCUCUGCUUGCCGCGUUAGCUAUCAUCAUUGUCACCGUCGAUGUGCAGGUAGGCCAUCCGUUGCUCCUGGCUUUGUAGUCAUCGCAGAACCACCUUCGAUAUCGGUCACCGCCCUCAUGCAUUGUCUUUGUCACCACAAACGCGAACGUCGCUGCUGAUGACCCCACGAGAAAAGCGGGUUUGCUGGACUCGUUGAAAUAUGUUCUGAUUUCUCUAUUAUUGUUGCAAUCUGCUACUUUCUUCUUAAUUGUUUCUGAGAUUUCACAAAUAGUCUAUUGGAGUUGAAGCUAAAGCAAUGCAUAUGUUCAGUUUACCUUCUUUGAAGUUUAAUUU